This 151-nucleotide non-coding RNA is filed under the name Salmonella enterica subsp. enterica serovar Typhimurium. RNAcentral describes it as "Inc". It matches the Rfam family "Pseudoknot of the regulatory region of the repZ gene". Lineage: Bacteria; Pseudomonadati; Pseudomonadota; Gammaproteobacteria; Enterobacterales; Enterobacteriaceae. The record is from RNAcentral.
AAAAGGAAAACCCCCACUAUCUUUCUUACGAACUUGGCGGAACGACGAAAGAUAGUGGGGGCCUCACAGAAUACGGGUAAAGUAUAAUGAAACCGUACCAGAGAUUCAACCCUGUGCAGUGUAUAAAUACACGGCACAAUCGCUCCGCCAU